RNAcentral lists this ribosomal RNA (491 nucleotides) under Chrysomya albiceps (hairy maggot blowfly). RNAcentral's name for it is "partial small subunit ribosomal RNA". It matches the Rfam family "Bacterial large subunit ribosomal RNA", at positions 1951 to 2650 of the family's 2925-position model. The record is from RNAcentral. Lineage: Eukaryota; Metazoa; Arthropoda; Insecta; Diptera; Calliphoridae.
CAAAGGUAGCAUAAUCAUUAGUCUUUUAAUUGAAGGCUGGUAUGAAUGGUUGGACGAGAUAUUAACUGUUUCAUAAAAAUUUAUAUUAGAAUUUUAUUUUUUAGUCAAAAAGCUAAAAUUUAUUUAAAAGACGAGAAGACCCUAUAAAUCUUUAUAUUUAGAUUAUUAUAAUUGUAUAGAUUUUUUUUGUUAUAAUAAUUAAUAAUAUUUUAUUGGGGUGAUAUUAAAAUUUAAUGAACUUUUAAUUAUUAAAAACAUUAAUUUAUGAAUAAUUGAUCCAUUAUUAGUGAUUAAAAAAAUAAGUUACUUUAGGGAUAACAGCGUAAUUUUUUUGGAGAGUUCAUAUCGAUAAAAAAGAUUGCGACCUCGAUGUUGGAUUAAGAUAUAAUUUUAGGUGUAGUAGCUUAAAUUUUAAGUCUGUUCGACUUUUAAAUUCUUACAUGAUCUGAGUUCAAACCGGCGUAAGCCAGGUUGGUUUCUAUCUUUAAAAA